Molecule: ribosomal RNA, 253 nt
Filed under: uncultured bacterium
Lineage: Bacteria
Description: partial 16S ribosomal RNA
Rfam family: Bacterial small subunit ribosomal RNA
Source: RNAcentral
UACGAAGGGUGCAAGCGUUAGUCGGAAUUACUGGGCGUAAAGCGUGCGUAGGCGGUUCUUUAAGUCUGCCGUGAAAUCCCCGGGCUCAACCUGGGAAUGGCGGUGGAUACUGAAGAGCUGGAGUGCGGUAGAGGAGGGUGGAAUUCCCGGUGUAGCGGUGAAAUGCGUAGAGAUCGGGAGGAACAUCAGUGGCGAAGGCGGCCCUCUGGACCAGCACUGACGCUGAGGCACGAAAGCGUGGGGAGCAAACAGG